GGUGCCUUCGGGAACUCUGACACAGGUGCUGCAUGGCUGUCGUCAGCUCGUGUCGUGAGAUGUUGGGUUAAGUCCGUAACGAGCGCAACCCUUGUCCUUAGUUACCAGCACGUUAUGGUGGGCACUCUAAGGAGACUGCCGGUGACAAACCGGAGGAAGGUGGGGAGUGACGUCAAGUCAUCAUGGCCCUUACGGCCUGGGCUACACACGUGCUACAAUGGUCGGUACAAAGGGUUGCCAAGCCGCGAGGUGGAGCUAAUCCCAUAAAACCGAUCGUAGUCCGGAUCGCAGUCUGCAACUCGACUGCGUGAAGUCGGAAUCGCUAGUAAUCGUGAAUCAGAAUGUCACGGUGAAUACGUUCCCGGGCCUU
RNAcentral lists this ribosomal RNA (370 nucleotides) under uncultured Pseudomonas sp. Its description in RNAcentral is "bacterial SSU rRNA". It matches the Rfam family "Bacterial small subunit ribosomal RNA", at positions 1013 to 1382 of the family's 1533-position model. The record is from RNAcentral. Lineage: Bacteria; Pseudomonadati; Pseudomonadota; Gammaproteobacteria; Pseudomonadales; Pseudomonadaceae.